GACGAACGCUGGCGGCGCGCCUAACACAUGCAAGUCGAACGAGAGAUGAGGAGCUUGCUCUUCAAAUCGAGUGGCGAACGGGUGAGUAACGCGUGAGGAACCUGCCUCAAAGAGGGGGACAACAGUUGGAAACGACUGCUAAUACCGCAUAAGCCCACGGCUCGGCAUCGAGCAGAGGGAAAAGGAGCAAUCCGCUUUGAGAUGGCCUCGCGUCCGAUUAGCUAGUUGGUGAGGUAACGGCCCACCAAGGCAACGAUCGGUAGCCGGACUGAGAGGUUGAACGGCCACAUUGGGACUGAGACACGGCCCAGACUCCUACGGGAGGCAGCAGUGGGGAAUAUUGCACAAUGGGGGAAACCCUGAUGCAGCGACGCCGCGUGGAGGAAGAAGGUCUUCGGAUUGUAAACUCCUGUUGUUGGGGAAGAUGAUGACGGUACCCAACAAGGAAGUGACGGCUAACUACGUG
Molecule: ribosomal RNA, 466 nt
Filed under: uncultured bacterium
Lineage: Bacteria
Description: bacterial SSU rRNA
Rfam family: Bacterial small subunit ribosomal RNA
Source: RNAcentral